UACAGAGGGUGCGAGCGUUGUUCGGAAUUAUUGGGCGUAAAGGGCGCGUAGGCGGUGCGGUAAGUCACCUGUGAAAUCUCCUGGCUCAACUGGGAGCUUGCAGGCGAAACUGCCGUGCUGGAGUGUGGGAGAGGUGCGUGGAAUUCCCAGUGUAGAGGUGAAAUUCGUAGAUAUUGGGAAGAACACCAGUGGCGAAGGCGGCUCACUGGCCCGUAACUGACGCUGAGGUGCGAAAGCGUGGGGAGCAAACAGGG
This 254-nucleotide ribosomal RNA is filed under the name uncultured bacterium. RNAcentral describes it as "partial 16S ribosomal RNA". It matches the Rfam family "Bacterial small subunit ribosomal RNA", at positions 524 to 777 of the family's 1533-position model. The record is from RNAcentral.